This 427-nucleotide ribosomal RNA is filed under the name uncultured bacterium. RNAcentral's name for it is "bacterial SSU rRNA". It matches the Rfam family "Bacterial small subunit ribosomal RNA", at positions 355 to 774 of the family's 1533-position model. The record is from RNAcentral.
UGGGGAAUUUUGGACAAUGGGCGCAAGCCUGAUCCAGCAAUGCCGCGUGCAGGAUGAAGGCCUUCGGGUUGUAAACUGCUUUUGUACGGAACGAAACGGUCUUUUCUAAUACAGAAGGCUAAUGACGGUACCGUAAGAAUAAGCACCGGCUAACUACGUGCCAGCAGCCGCGGUAAUACGUAGGGUGCGAGCGUUAAUCGGAAUUACUGGGCGUAAAGCGUGCGCAGGCGGUUAUGCAAGACAGAUGUGAAAUCCCCGGGCUCAACCUGGGAACUGCAUUUGUGACUGCAUAGCUGGAGUGCGGCAGAGGGGGAUGGAAUUCCGCGUGUAGCAGUGAAAUGCGUAGAUAUGCGGAGGAACACCGAUGGCGAAGGCAAUCCCCUGGGCCUGCACUGACGCUCAUGCACGAAAGCGUGGGGAGCAAACA